GGCCCCGUAGCUCAGCAGGAUAGAGCACCAGAUUCCUAAUCUGGGGGUCACAGGUUCGAAUCCUGUCGGGGUCA
Molecule: transfer RNA, 74 nt
Filed under: Varunaivibrio sulfuroxidans
Lineage: Bacteria; Pseudomonadati; Pseudomonadota; Alphaproteobacteria; Rhodospirillales; Magnetovibrionaceae
Also listed under: 1 other name
Rfam family: tRNA
About the family: Transfer RNA (tRNA) molecules are approximately 80 nucleotides in length. Their secondary structure includes four short double-helical elements and three loops (D, anti-codon, and T loops). Further hydrogen bonds mediate the characteristic L-shaped molecular structure. tRNAs have two regions of fundamental functional importance: the anti-codon, which is responsible for specific mRNA codon recognition, and the 3' end, to which the tRNAs corresponding amino acid is attached (by aminoacyl-tRNA synthetases). tRNAs cope with the degeneracy of the genetic code in two manners: having more than one tRNA (with a specific anti-codon) for a particular amino acid; and 'wobble' base-pairing, i.e. permitting non-standard base-pairing at the 3rd anti-codon position.
Source: Rfam by way of RNAcentral